GACGAACGCUGGCGGCGUGCCUAAUACAUGCAAGUUGAGCGCUGAAGGUUGGUACUUGUACCAACUGGAUGAGCAGCGAACGGGUGAGUAACGCGUGGGGAAUCUGCCUUUGAGCGGGGGACAACAUUUGGAAACGAAUGCUAAUACCGCAUAAAAACUUUAAACACAAGUUUUAAGUUUGAAAGAUGCAAUUGCAUCACUCAAAGAUGAUCCCGCGUUGUAUUAGCUAGUUGGUGAGGUAAAGGCUCACCAAGGCGAUGAUACAUAGCCGACCUGAGAGGGUGAUCGGCCACAUUGGGACUGAGACACGGCCCAAACUCCUACGGGAGGCAGCAGUAGGGAAUCUUCGGCCAUGGACGAAAGUCUGACCGAGCAACGCCGCGUGAGUGAAGAAGGUUUUCGGAUCGUAAAACUCUGUUGGUAGGGAAGAACGUUGGUGAGAGUGGAAAGCUCAUCAAGUGACGGUAACUACCCAGAAAGGGACGGCUAACUACGUG
RNAcentral lists this ribosomal RNA (497 nucleotides) under uncultured bacterium. Its description in RNAcentral is "partial 16S ribosomal RNA". It matches the Rfam family "Bacterial small subunit ribosomal RNA", at positions 28 to 507 of the family's 1533-position model. The record is from RNAcentral.